UACAGAGGGUGCGAGCGUUAAUCGGAAUUACUGGGCGUAAAGCGUGCGUAGACGGUUAUUUAAGUCGGGUGUGAAAGCCCCGAGCUCAACCUGGGAAUUGCAUUCGAGACUGAAUAGCUAGGGUACGGUAGAGGGAAGUGGAAUUUCCGGUGUAGCGGUGAAAUGCGUAGAUAUCGGAAGGAACAUCAGUGGCGAAAGCGACUUCCUGGACCAGUACCGACGUUCAGGCACGAAAGCGUGGGGAGCAAACAGG
This 253-nucleotide ribosomal RNA is filed under the name uncultured bacterium. Its description in RNAcentral is "partial 16S ribosomal RNA". It matches the Rfam family "Bacterial small subunit ribosomal RNA", at positions 524 to 776 of the family's 1533-position model. The record is from RNAcentral.